AGUGAACGCUGGCGGUAGGCCUAACACAUGCAAGUCGAACGGCAGCACAGUAAGAGCUUGCUCUUACGGGUGGCGAGUGGCGGACGGGUGAGGAUUACAUCGGAAUCUACUUUUUCGUGGGGGAUAACGUAGGGAAACUUACGCUAAUACCGCAUACGACCUACGGGUGAAAGCAGGGGAUCUUCGGACCUUGCGCGAUUGAAUGAGCCGAUGUCGGAUUAGCUAGUUGGCGGGGUAAAGGCCCACCAAGGCGACGAUCCGUAGCUGGUCUGAGAGGAUGAUCAGCCACACUGGAACUGAGACACGGUCCAGACUCCUACGGGAGGCAGCAGUGGGGAAUAGUGGACAAUGGGCGCAAGCAUGAUCCAGCCAUACCGCGUGGGUGAAGAAGGCCUUCGGGUUGUAAAGCCCUUUUGUUGGGAAAGAAAAGCAGCAGGUUAAUACCCCGCUGUUCUGACGGUACCCAAAGAAUAAGCACCGGCUAACUUCGUG
This 492-nucleotide ribosomal RNA is filed under the name uncultured bacterium. RNAcentral describes it as "partial 16S ribosomal RNA". It matches the Rfam family "Bacterial small subunit ribosomal RNA", at positions 29 to 507 of the family's 1533-position model. The record is from RNAcentral.